CAAUCUGGCACUGCCGUCAGUCGAUAGUGACUGCUGAUAGUAGAGAUUGGAGGCCUGCGGGGCGACAAUUUGAAUCAUAGCAGCAGCAGUAAAAGGAGGGAAAGACGCAAAGAAGUAGUUAAAGAAGAAGACAACGAAAAAAGAAGAAGGAGGCUGGAAGGCUUCGAGGGAACAGAAUGAGUCUCACUCGCCUGGCGGUGCGGCGGCUGCGGCCGCGGCCUCCUCGCCUGCUCGCCACGGAGGUGCAGUCCUCAGUGGCGUCUGCAAGGUCACCUCACCUCACCUCGUCUGUUCACCUCUGCGCCCCCAGCGUCGCCCCCUCCUUCUCAACUGCCCCUCGCCCCCUGUGCACGGCGGCCGCUGGGGCGCUGGACGGGAAAGACCACGCGCCUGCGGCGCACUGCCCUUCCGCAGCCGAGGUGGUGGAGGCCUCCCCGGGGACGACGCCCUGCGGGUUCAGUUCGCGACGGGAGCAGCCAUGACUUUCCCUCCUGCUGGCUCAGGGACAACUGCCAGUGCAUCUCUGCUACGACCACAAGUCCUUCACGAGGAAGCUUGUGCUCGACACUGGGACCAAGAGAUACCCUGUCCAUGUAGAGGUGCUGGCCCCUGACGUGCGGCUGAGGUGGAAGAGCGGCCACGAGAGCCUCUUCCACGGCCGCUGGCUCCACGACGCGCCUUCUCCGAGUCGUCCCGCCGGACGCAGAGGGCCUUCGGCGCUCUGGACAAGG
Non-coding RNA from Penaeus vannamei (Pacific white shrimp), 731 nucleotides. NCBI's taxonomy places the organism in Eukaryota, Metazoa, Arthropoda, Malacostraca, Decapoda, Penaeidae. The record is from RefSeq and is a predicted model, not a curated record.